CGGAUUUGAAGGAACGGUAU
RNAcentral lists this ribosomal RNA (20 nucleotides) under Cichlidogyrus sp. Kal_LobLab3_1KB1. RNAcentral's name for it is "partial 18S ribosomal RNA". Lineage: Eukaryota; Metazoa; Platyhelminthes; Monogenea; Dactylogyridea; Ancyrocephalidae. The record is from RNAcentral.